GACGAACGCUGGCGGCGUGCUUAACACAUGCAAGUCGAACGGAAAGGCCCUGCUUUUGUGGGGUGCUCGAGUGGCGAACGGGUGAGUAACACGUGAGUAACCUGCCCUUGACUUUGGGAUAACUUCAGGAAACUGGGGCUAAUACCGGAUAGGAGCUCCUGCUGCAUGGUGGGGGUUGGAAAGUUUCGGCGGUUGGGGAUGGACUCGCGGCUUAUCAGCUUGUUGGUGGGGUAGUGGCUUACCAAGGCUUUGACGGGUAGCCGGCCUGAGAGGGUGACCGGCCACAUUGGGACUGAGAUACGGCCCAGACUCCUACGGGAGGCAGCAGUGGGGAAUAUUGCACAAUGGGCGGAAGCCUGAUGCAGCAACGCCGCGUGCGGGAUGACGGCCUUCGGGUUGUAAACCGCUUUCGCCUGUGACGAAGCGUGAGUGACGGUAAUGGGUAAAGAAGCACCGGCUAACUACGUGCCAGCAGCCGCGGUGAUACGUAGGGUGCGAGCGUUGUCCGGAUUUAUUGGGCGUAAAGGGCUCGUAGGUGGUUGAUCGCGUCGGAAGUGUAAUCUCGGGGCUUAACCCUGAGCGUGCCUUCGAUACGGGUUGACUUGAGGAAGGUAGGGGAGAAUGGAAUUCCUGGUGGAGCGGUGGAAUGCGCAGAUAUCAGGAGGAACACCAGUGGCGAAGGCGGUUCUCUGGGCCUUUCCUGACGCUGAGGAGCGAAAGCGUGGGGAGCGAACAGGCUUAGAUACCCUGGUAGUCCACGCUGUAAACGGUGGGUACUAGGUGUGGGGUCCAUUCCACGGGUUCCGUGCCGUAGCUAACGCUUUAAGUACCCCGCCUGGGGAGUACGGCCGCAAGGCUAAAACUCAAAGGAAUUGACGGGGCCCCGCACAAGCGGCGGAGCAUGCGGAUUAAUUCGAUGCAACGCGUAGAACCUUACCUGGGUUUGACAUGGAUCGGGAGCGCUCAGAGAUGGGUGUGCCUCUUUUGGGGUCGGUUCACAGGUGGUGCAUGGCUGUCGUCAGCUCGUGUCGUGAGAUGUUGGGUUAAGUCCCGCAACGAGCGCAACCCUUGUUCACUGUUGCCAGCACGUUAUGGUGGGGACUCAGUGGAGACCGCCGGGGUCAACUCGGAGGAAGGUGGGGAUGACGUCAAGUCAUCAUGCCCCUUAUGUCCAGGGCUUCACGCAUGCUACAAUGGCUGGUACAGAGAGUGGCGAGCCUGUGAGGGUGAGCGAAUCUCGGAAAGCCGGUCUCAGUUCGGAUUGGGGUCUGCAACUCGACCUCAUGAAGUCGGAGUCGCUAGUAAUCGCAGAUCAGCAACGCUGCGGUGAAUACGUUCCCGGGGCU
RNAcentral lists this ribosomal RNA (1346 nucleotides) under uncultured bacterium. Its description in RNAcentral is "bacterial SSU rRNA". It matches the Rfam family "Bacterial small subunit ribosomal RNA", at positions 28 to 1381 of the family's 1533-position model. The record is from RNAcentral.